RNAcentral lists this ribosomal RNA (1343 nucleotides) under uncultured bacterium. Its description in RNAcentral is "16S ribosomal RNA". It matches the Rfam family "Bacterial small subunit ribosomal RNA", at positions 28 to 1378 of the family's 1533-position model. The record is from RNAcentral.
GACGAACGCUGGCGGCGUGCUUAACACAUGCAAGUCGAACGGAAAGGCCCUGCUUUUGUGGGGUGCUCGAGUGGCGAACGGGUGAGUAACACGUGAGUAACCUGCCCUUGACUUUGGGAUAACUUCAGGAAACUGGGGCUAAUACCGGAUAGGAGCUCCUGCUGCAUGGUGGGGGUUGGAAAGUUUCGGCGGUUGGGGAUGGACUCGCGGCUUAUUAGCUUGUUGGUGGGGUAGUGGCUUACCAAGGCUUUGACGGGUAGCCGGCCUGAGAGGGUGACCGGCCACAUUGGGACUGAGAUACGGCCCAGACUCCUACGGGAGGCAGCAGUGGGGAAUAUUGCACAAUGGGCGGAAGCCUGAUGCAGCAACGCCGCGUGCGGGAUGACGGCCUUCGGGUUGUAAACCGCUUUCGCCUGUGACGAAGCGUGAGUGACGGUAAUGGGUAAAGAAGCACCGGCUAACUACGUGCCAGCAGCCGCGGUGAUACGUAGGGUGCGAGCGUUGUCCGGAUUUAUUGGGCGUAAAGGGCUCGUAGGUGGUUGAUCGCGUCGGAAGUGUAAUCUUGGGGCUUAACCCUGAGCGUGCUUUCGAUACGGGUUGACUUGAGGAAGGUAGGGGAGAAUGGAAUUCCUGGUGGAGCGGUGGAAUGCGCAGAUAUCAGGAGGAACACCAGUGGCGAAGGCGGUUCUCUGGGCCUUUCCUGACGCUGAGGAGCGAAAGCGUGGGGAGCGAACAGGCUUAGAUACCCUGGUAGUCCACGCUGUAAACGGUGGGUACUAGGUGUGGGGUCCAUUCCACGGGUUCCGUGCCGUAGCUAACGCUUUAAGUACCCCGCCUGGGGAGUACGGCCGCAAGGCUAAAACUCAAAGGAAUUGACGGGGCCCCGCACAAGCGGCGGAGCAUGCGGAUUAAUUCGAUGCAACGCGUAGAACCUUACCUGGGUUUGACAUGGAUCGGGAGUGCUCAGAGAUGGGUGUGCCUCUUUUGGGGUCGGUUCACAGGUGGUGCAUGGCUGUCGUCAGCUCGUGUCGUGAGAUGUUGGGUUAAGUCCCGCAACGAGCGCAACCCUUGUUCACUGUUGCCAGCACGUUAUGGUGGGGACUCAGUGGAGACCGCCGGGGUCAACUCGGAGGAAGGUGGGGAUGACGUCAAGUCAUCAUGCCCCUUAUGUCCAGGGCUUCACGCAUGCUAUAAUGGCUGGUACAGAGAGUGGCGAGCCUGUGAGGGUGAGCGAAUCUCGGAAAGCCGGUCUCAGUUCGGAUUGGGGUCUGCAACUCGACCUCAUGAAGUCGGAGUCGCUAGUAAUCGCAGAUCAGCAACGCUGCGGUGAAUACGUUCCCGGG